RNAcentral lists this long non-coding RNA (1293 nucleotides) under Sinocyclocheilus grahami. RNAcentral's name for it is "lncRNA (ENSSGRG00000006806.1)". The stretch from base 530 to 670 matches the Rfam family "Small nucleolar RNA SNORA47". Lineage: Eukaryota; Metazoa; Chordata; Actinopteri; Cypriniformes; Cyprinidae. The record is from RNAcentral.
GAAGGCUUGUAGCUUAUAAACUCUCGAUACCAAAAGCAUGCACUGUAAUCAGUAUCUAGCUAAUUCUCAUUUGAUUUGUCAAUCUAGACUCCUGAGGAAGAGGAAAUCCUAAACAAGAAGAGGUCGAAAAAGGUCCAAAAGAAGUUUGAUGAGCGCAGAAAGAAAAGCAAGAUCAGUUCUCUGUUGGAGGAGCAGUUCCUGCAGGGGAAGCUUCUUGCCUGCAUUGCCUCGAGACCAGGACAGUGUGGCAGGGCUGAUGGCUACGUCCUUGAGGGCAAAGAACUGGAGUUCUACCUGAGGAAGAUUAAAGCCAAGAAAGGCAAAUAAAUGUAGAGCUCUUUUUGAUAUGACCAUUAAAGAAUAUACCCCAACUCGUCACGUUGCUGCUGCUGUUCUCAUUUUAUACAAGUGUUGCCAAAGCUUUUGAUUAGAAAGUUGGCUUAGCCAACAAGUGACAUCUUUCAACAAUUGUUUCUGGUGUGCGCUGAUGUUGUGUAGUGAGUCCUUUUUCCAUACACAUUUUAUUGGAAGGAGGAUUUGAGAAAGUUAAGCAGCUAUUUUUUUGUACUGCAUUAACUGGUUGUAACCUCCUAGAAAAAAAACACAAGUGCUAAAGUGCUCUUAGUUUUCUGUAUUAAAGAAGUCAUUGCCAUGCUUGUGUGUACAUUUUAUAUCUAUAAAAUUAGCUAAUAGAUCAAGUAUGUUAAAUCAAUGGCAAAGAAUUUAAUUUCUAAAUUUUGAAAUUUAAAGCUGUAAAUUAACUAUAAACUAGUUAAAGGGAAUUGUCAUUUAUAGAUUAACUUGGAUUAAAAAAUUAGUUAAUCACUGCACAAUUCAAGCAAGUUUACCUUUCAAAAGUUUGAGGUUGGUAAGGUUUUUUUAUUUUGAAACCAGGUCAGUUAUAUUCAUCUAGACUGCAUUAUUUUGAAGUAAAAUUGCUUAAAACGUUUGCAUUAUAUUUUCAAAUGUAAUUUAUGUGAUGGCAAAACUGAAUAUUCAGCUGUCAUUACUCCAGUCUUCAGUGUCGCAUGAUCUUUCGAGUAUGCUGAUUUAUCAGUGUUGGGGGAAAAAUCUGUUGUGCUGCUUAAUAUUUUUGUGGAAACAAAUAAAAAAAUCCUAACAUUUCUUCACUUGUCACUUUAGCACAAUUUAAUGCAUCUUUAAUGAAUAAACUUUAUUUAAAAAAUAAAAAUCUUUCAGACCCCAAAUCUUUGAACGGUAAUAUGUACAUUGGUCAAAAGUGCAAGCAGAGAUGAGGGUUCAAAUAUUGCAGCAAGUAUCCUCUCAUCCUUG